Molecule: long non-coding RNA, 333 nt
Filed under: Equus caballus (horse)
Lineage: Eukaryota; Metazoa; Chordata; Mammalia; Perissodactyla; Equidae
Description: lncRNA (ENSECAG00000044552.1)
Source: RNAcentral
CACUUGCUGACCUGGCUUCUAGACUGCUCAUCAGAUCCUCUGCUUGCUAUUUCUUCCCCCAUGUGCAGGACAGAUGCAGAAGAUUCAGGGAAGGAUACAAAGAUCUUCUAGAUAUAAAGAGCCUGCUAGAGUGACUUUAAAGAGCUGCUGGAGGAAGUUACCACCGCUGGGCUGCAAAUCCACUCACUAACAGCCACCUGGACUACAGUCGUCCCUGGGGCUGAGCAAAAGUCAACACUACAAUGUCUCUCAAAGACCGGGCAAGUGAUUCAUUGAACCCAUAAACGUACUUUCUAUGUGCCACGUGUGAAACUGUGAACGAGAAGGAUCAAC